This 606-nucleotide ribosomal RNA is filed under the name uncultured bacterium. RNAcentral describes it as "bacterial SSU rRNA". The stretch from base 1 to 521 matches the Rfam family "Bacterial small subunit ribosomal RNA", at positions 338 to 873 of the family's 1533-position model. The record is from RNAcentral.
CCUACGGGAGGCAGCAGUGGGGAAUAUUGGACAAUGGGCGGAAGCCUGAUCCAGCAACGCCGCGUGAGGGAUGACGGCCUUCGGGUUGUAAACCUCUUUCAGUACCGACGAAGCGCAAGUGACGGUAGGUACAGAAGAAGCACCGGCCAACUACGUGCCAGCAGCCGCGGUAAUACGUAGGGUGCGAGCGUUGUCCGGAAUUAUUGGGCGUAAAGGGCUCGUAGGCGGUUUGUCGCGUCGGGAGUGAAAACGCCGUGCUUAACACGGCGCUUGCUUUCGAUACGGGCAGACUAGAGGUAUGCAGGGGAGAACGGAAUUCCUGGUGUAGCGGUGAAAUGCGCAGAUAUCAGGAGGAACACCGGUGGCGAAGGCGGUUCUCUGGGCAUUACCUGACGCUGAGGAGCGAAAGUGUGGGGAGCGAACAGGAUUAGAUACCCUGGUAGUCCACACCGUAAACGUUGGGCGCUAGGUGUGGGAUCCAUUCCACGGGUUCCGUGCCGCAGCUACGCAUAGCGCCCGCCGUCGGGAGGUACGGCCGCGACGACGUAAACUACAAGAAGUAGACGGCGNGAGACGNGCCGACGGACGACGACGACGGGAGGUAGG